CCUCUUAUAUUUUCCUCAUACACCCACGUGAACGAUGAGACAAACCUUCCAUUCUCUAAAACCCUACCGCCGCCGUCACCCAUCCUUUCACCACUUUCCGACCACCACAACUCUUAACUGCAAGCGAGCAACGUUUUUGUACUCCUCAUCACCUCUUCUCCUUUCCUUUUCUGCUCUGUGACUCCAUUUUCUUUUCAAUCAGUGUUGAAAUGGAGCUGUUUGAAACGAAACCACCGUGCCGGUUUCCCUCAGGCCACCGUGAGCUUCAUCUCCUCCAAGGAUUCGAAUAGUGCAUGAUGAAAUCUCCCCAGGUGUUGGAUUUGGUAAUGAAUCACUUAACUAGACCAAUUCCUACAGAGAUUGGAAAUCGCUCGAGCAUCGUUCACGUUUGGAGUUGACUUUGUGGAAUAAAUGUGAAAUGUGCCUUGAACUGAAUGAAGGAGUAUCGAAGUACUCAACUGAAAAACAGAAUAUCCAUCGUGUGUGUAAUAAAACUCGUAGUUUGACUAUGCAGUAAGAACAUGGUACAUUAAUUAAAAAAUGAAAACUCUUUAUGCUGCACUAAGUCUCACAUUAUAUAUCUACCACAUCAUGCCAAAAACCUUGAAACCAUGAAUAUAACUAAAAAAAGAGUUGGCUUAUGUUUCAUUUUUCCCAACUUGGUUUUUGCAUUUGCUUGUGGGAGUGUUAGCAAGGAGUGGAACUGUAGUUUUAUUCACGACAGUUAAUUCAGAUAAUAAUUGUGUGCAUUAUUAGUAUUGUUAUUACAAAGCUACGGAAUAUGGUUCUCACAUACUAAGAGGUUAAUUUUGGUAAUAGGAUUUGACAUCAGAAUCUGGAACUUGUGAUCCCCUAUGUUCAGUUGAUGAAACUAGUUCGCUAGAUUUCGAAGACAACUAUCAGCCCAAGACUGAUUUGCUCAAAGCAGUUGUGAUAUUUGCGGCGGCUGCAAUUGGGACGGUGAUGUUUCUGUUUCAAUUAUAUAGUCAUUUCGUCCAAGCAAAUAUUCCUCAAUUAUUGCCUUUUAUAUGUUUCUGCUUCUCUCGCCUUGGGCUUACCCAGCAGUGUUUCUAAUAUUAGAAACUUUAAGCCUCCUUCCAGUGGCCACAAGGAAGUGGAGUUAUAUCCUACUUUAUCAUGGCUAUUUUGUUGUGAAUAAUUGAAAAGGGACAGAUUUUAUCUGUUGAUCAUUAAAUAAUUUAUUUCCUUAAUCCUGUACCAAAUAUUAUCUAUCACAUGUUUACAUGUUUUAUUUUUUGUUAUUGCAGACAGUUACUUUUUUAACGUAUCUGUUGAAAAGCUAUGCUGAUUAUAUAAGGCCACAUGAAGAAAGUAUAUGUAAAAGCAUUGUGAAUUUGCUUGUAACAUGUACUGACUCUGUCCUUAUCACAAGUAUGUCUUCUCUUCAUCUCAUUUUAGAUUUAUCUGCCGCUUUUAGUGAUUUCUUGCAGAAGUACUAGGUGUUGGAUUUUAUUUCAAUAUUCACUGCUUUUUAGUAAUUUAUAUUUUUAGAGAGAAUAAGAAUCCAAUUUUUUGAGCCUACAUGGAUUUCGAAGUUGAGGAAUUCUAUGUUUCUGUCCAUUUUUAAUGCUUGUGAGAUGGAUAUGAUGCUUGUUACCCAUAUUGGCAUUAUUUUGAGCAUGCAUAUUCAAUUUGUUUUAUGCUGCAAAGUU
Long non-coding RNA from Vicia villosa (hairy vetch), 1673 nucleotides. RefSeq lists it as uncharacterized. The transcript has 3 exons. The record is from RefSeq and is a predicted model, not a curated record. Lineage: Eukaryota; Viridiplantae; Streptophyta; Magnoliopsida; Fabales; Fabaceae.